This 465-nucleotide ribosomal RNA is filed under the name uncultured bacterium. Its description in RNAcentral is "partial 16S ribosomal RNA". It matches the Rfam family "Bacterial small subunit ribosomal RNA", at positions 28 to 507 of the family's 1533-position model. The record is from RNAcentral.
GACGAACGCUGGCGGCGUGCUUAACACAUGCAAGUCGAACGGAAAGGCCCCUUUGGGGGUACUCGAGUGGCGAACGGGUGAGUAACACGUGAGUAACCUGCCCUUGACUUCGGGAUAACUUCAGGAAACUGGGGCUAAUACCGGAUAGGAAUCCUUGCUGCAUGGUGGGGGUUGGAAAGCUUCGGCGGCUUUGGAUGGACUCGCGGCCUAUCAGCUUGUUGGUGGGGUAGUGGCUUACCAAGGCUUUGACGGGUAGCCGGCCUGUGAGGGUGACCGGCCACAUUGGGACUGAGGGGCGGCCCAGACUCCGACGGGAGGAAGCAGUGGGGAAGAUUGAACAAGGGGCGGAAGCCUGAUGCAGCAGGGCCGCGGGCGGGAUGACGGCCUUCGGGUUGAAGACCGCUUUCAGCAGGGGCGAAGCUUGUGGUGACGGUACCUGCAGAAGAAGCACCGGCUAACUACGUG